GCGGAGGAAAAGAAACCAACAGGGAUUGCCUCAGUAACGGCGAGUGAAGCGGCAAGAGCUCAACUUUGGAAUCGCUGCGGCGAGUUGUAGUCUGGAGGUGGCCGGUCCCGGCGCCAGCGCGCAGCCAAGUCCUUUGGAACAAGGCGCCUGAGAGGGUGACAGCCCCGUGGCAGUUUGUGCUGGUGCCGCCUCGGCCCACCGACGAGUCGAGUUGUUUGGGAAUGCAGCUCUAAGUGGGUGGUAAAUUCCAUCUAAAGCUAAAUACCGGCGAGAGACCGAUAGCGAACAAGUACAGUAAUGGAAAGAUGAAAAGCACUUUGAAAAGAGAGUGAAACAGUACGUGAAAUUGUUGAAAGGGAAGGGCUUGCACCCAGACACGGCCUUCUGGCCGGGCCAGCAUCGGGUGGGAGGGAGCGACAACGAGCAGUCGAUGUAGUACAGCCCUCUGGGCUGUGCAUUAUACGUCUUGCUUUCUGGCUCCUCUCCCGCCCGAGGACCGCAGCAAUAAGGAUGCUGGCGCAAUGGUUGCAAGCCACCCGUCUUG
Molecule: ribosomal RNA, 544 nt
Filed under: Candidozyma haemuli
Lineage: Eukaryota; Fungi; Ascomycota; Pichiomycetes; Serinales; Metschnikowiaceae
Description: LSU rRNA
Rfam family: Eukaryotic large subunit ribosomal RNA
Source: RNAcentral